AAAAUUUCUUGUCUCUCUCUGU
Molecule: microRNA, 22 nt
Filed under: Sarcophilus harrisii (Tasmanian devil)
Lineage: Eukaryota; Metazoa; Chordata; Mammalia; Dasyuromorphia; Dasyuridae
Description: Sha-Mir-7398-o9_3p (mature (co-guide))
Source: RNAcentral